This 484-nucleotide ribosomal RNA is filed under the name uncultured bacterium. RNAcentral describes it as "partial 16S ribosomal RNA". It matches the Rfam family "Bacterial small subunit ribosomal RNA", at positions 30 to 507 of the family's 1533-position model. The record is from RNAcentral.
AUUGAACGCUGGCGGCAGGCCUAACACAUGCAAGUCGAGCGGAUGAAGGGAGCUUGCUCCUGGAUUCAGCGGCGGACGGGUGAGUAAUGCCUGGGAAUCUGCCUGGUAGUGGGGGAUAACGUCCGGAAACGGGCGCUAAUACCGCAUACGUCCUGAGGGAGAAAGUGGGGGAUCUUCGGACCUCACGCUAUCAGAUGAGCCUAGGUCGGAUUAGCUAGUUGGUGGGGUAAAGGCCUACCAAGGCGACGAUCCGUAACUGGUCUGAGAGGAUGAUCAGUCACACUGGAACUGAGAAACGGUCCAGACUCCUACGGGAGGCAGCAGUGGGGAAUAUUGGACGAUGGGCGAAAGCCUGAUCCAGCCAUGCCGCGUGUGUGAAGAAGGUCUUCGGAUUGUAAAGCACUUUAAGUUGGGGGGAAGGGCAGUAAGUUAAUACCUUGCUGUUUUGACGUUACCAACAGAAUAAGCACCGGCUAACUUCGUG